AACGGCAGCAAGUCUAUCGCCGGCAGUCACUUACGCGAGUAAUGACGCGGGAGGAAAGUCCGGGCAACACGAGCCACCAUACUUCCUAACGGGAAGGGACCGCCAGGCCAAAGCCUGCGGCCACAGAGAGUGCCACAGAAAGCAAACCGCCGAUCUCCGCAAGGAGAGGUAAGGGUGAAAGCGCGAGGUAAGAGCUCACGACGGCGGGCAGCGAUGCCCUCCGAUGGUAAACCUUAUGGGUUGAAAAACCAAAUAUACCGACAGUUAAGGGCAGGCUCGCCCGUUGUCGGGGGGUAGGUUGAUUGAGACAUGUGGCGACACAUGCCCUAGAUAAAUGAUAGACACGGCCCCCGCGGCCGCACAGAACCCGGCUUAUGCGCUGCCGUCCUUU
RNAcentral lists this RNase P RNA (391 nucleotides) under Bacteroidales bacterium. RNAcentral describes it as "RNase P RNA component class A". It matches the Rfam family "Bacterial RNase P class A". From Rfam's summary of the family: Ribonuclease P (RNase P) is a ubiquitous endoribonuclease, found in archaea, bacteria and eukarya as well as chloroplasts and mitochondria. Lineage: Bacteria; Pseudomonadati; Bacteroidota; Bacteroidia; Bacteroidales. The record is from RNAcentral.